This 468-nucleotide ribosomal RNA is filed under the name uncultured bacterium. Its description in RNAcentral is "partial 16S ribosomal RNA". It matches the Rfam family "Bacterial small subunit ribosomal RNA", at positions 28 to 507 of the family's 1533-position model. The record is from RNAcentral.
GACGAACGCUGGCGGCGUGCUUAACACAUGCAAGUCGAACGGAAAGGCCCUGCUUUUGUGGGGUGCUCGAGUGGCGAACGGGUGAGUAACACGUGAGUAACCUGCCCUUGACUUUGGGAUGACUUCAGGAAACUGGGGCUAAUACCGGAUAGGAGCUCCUGCUGCAUGGUGGGGGUUGGAAAGUUUCGGCGGUUGGGGAUGGACUCGCGGCUUAUCAGCUUGUUGGUGGGGUAGUGGCUUACCAAGGCUUUGACGGGUAGCCGGCCUGAGAGGGUGACCGGCCACAUUGGGACUGAGAUACGGCCCAGACUCCUACGGGAGGCAGCAGUGGGGAAUAUUGCACAAUGGGCGGAAGCCUGAUGCAGCAACGCCGCGUGCGGGAUGACGGCCUUCGGGUUGCAAACCGCUUUCGCCUGUGACGAAGCGUGAGUGACGGUAAUGGGUAAAGAAGCACCGGCUAACUACGUG